UAUAGCUCUGGAACCUUUUUUUUUACAUAUGUGAUUCCCAGAUCUGUAUCUUCAAGCCUGCCCCAUCACUCUUCCUUCAGUCCUGUCUUGUGCACUGGGACAUUGCCCUGUGGCUCUUUGCUGCUCCCUGAAACUGAAUCUGUUGAAUAUAGAGUCUCUUCUCUUGCAAAUCUUUUCCCCAUGCACAGCUUUGCAGGCCUCUGAAGGACUUCACUAGACCUGUCAUCCCAUCUAGAAGGCCAGCUUUCUUCUCUCUGUGUUCUUUAACUUUCUACUUUUUGAGUCAGGAGAGAGGCGCUAGGUGAGACCCUGGUGGAUUGAUGUUCUCUCUCUACUCCACCCACCUUCACAUUAAGCGUUCCAUUUCUGCCCAUGUAGAAAUUUACUGGUUCUCUCUUUAUAGUCUGGGCUGCACCACUUACUUUUCCCAUUAGAGCCGGCCUGCAUUGGAGUGCCGAAGUGGUUGCUUCUGAGGGCUGCUAGGUGGCCUCUGACCAGGAGGAGACUAGAAAAGGGUCCUGGCCUGGGCAUCUGGAGGCAGCUGUGGCCCCGACUUCCCCAUCAGUGGCUCACUAGGUAAGCCUAGGCUAAUGGCUGGACCUUCUCUUGCUUUGGUUGCCUUGGCAGUGGAACAGUGGGAUGAACCUGUUGUUCCUUACGGUCCACUUGAAAAUGCCAGAAUCCCAUCCUCAACCUGCUCGAGGAGCCAUCUCCUAGUUGCUGCUUUUGCACACCCCCGUGGCCCAGGUGCCAGAUUCUUCUUGGCAUCCAAUGGUGCUCCCUUUCUGCCAGGUUCCGGGCGCUGUCUGCAGUACAGGUUUAGGGGCUUGCCUGCCACUGUGAUGUGUGAGGCCGGGAAUCUGAGGUUCACACGUGCUGAGAGCUGCAGGCAUUUGUGGGGCCUGCCUGGUUGUCCCUGAGGUUUCUAGGAGAAGCAGGUGUCAGGGACUCUGGGACUAGCCAGACAGAUGGAGCCUAUUAUAUGAGGGCUACCGUGGCAAAUAGGAUAUGGCCUUGGCCGCGGAAGAGGCACAGGCCUGUGACCUUGGGGGAGUGGGAAGGAUGAUUUCAAACUUGCAAAUGUGUUGAAGCUCAAAAAUCAGACCUAACCCAGUGAGGAAAGAGACAAUCUGGCUGUUUGUCGUCGAAGUAGGACAGUGUGCAACAGGGAGAAAUGACAUUUGUCAGAGCCUUUCUCCUGGGGCUCUUGGUCUCUGUAUGCGUGGUUGGAAUUUAAACUCCACAUAUGUACUCUGAGUUUAGUUUCUUUAGACAUGAACUUUGUUUCUUCCAAGUAGGCAGGGACUAUUUGUCAAGUCUCUGCAUGCCUGUUUCUCUGUGAGGUUAUCCUCGCCCCGUCAGUGUACGAAACAGCUGUCUCUGCAGGGAGUGUGUGUCGGCAUUUUUUUUUUUUUUUAAGGAGAACCUCUCUCCAUGAGUCUGUAUUUAGCUCCCUGGAGCCGUCUGAUGAGUGGGUGGGGGCAGUAGUGGGCAGGUGUGGUGCAGUGUGGCCCCUUGUCGUAGUUGGCUUUAUCUCCCAAAUUGCUAGUGGGACAAAUUUUCCUAGGAAGCUUUUCAAGGUGGAAAGGCUGAAGUGGCUCCUGAGAGAGGUUCCAGGCUGCACACUCCCUCCCCCUCUUGCUGCUUCCUGUGGCUGUGCUGCAUGGUGCGUGAGGGGGAUGCUGGGGGGGCUCCCUGCAUCGCUGGGCUCUGGGUGCGUGAGGGGGAUGCUGGGGGGGCUCCCUGCAUCGCUGGGCUCCGGGUGCUGGGUCCUGGCUGCAGGCUAUUGGGUUGGGCUGGGCUGUCUGCACACGAGUCUGCGUUGAAAAGCCUACUCAUCUGGCAUUGCUUGCUAAACAAUUUUUAAAAGGUUAUUUUUCUCCACAUUAUUAAGAUAUUCAUGUAUUAAUACAUUAUAUUUGGAAAAUGUAAGGAGAUUUGGAAAAUGAUUAAAAAAGGAUAAAGUAGUAAACAAAAUUCACCCACAGCCCAGAGGGAAGAAAAGUAACGACUCUUAAAUUUUCUUUUUAUGAUAUAUAUGAUCCUAUGUACAUAUAUGUUGGUGUGUGUAUAUAUAUGUGUGUGUGCGUAUAUAUAACGUAUGUAUAUAUACAUUGAUUUAUACACACUCCCCCUCUGCCCCUGCUUUGUGGAUUUAGCUGUAUGGAUAGUAAUGUCUGUCUAAGGGGCUAUAGUCUAGAAUCUAGAAUAUACACUAUUUGCUUUUUUUUCUUUCAUAUCAUUGAAUCUACAGAGUUUGGUAACCUGCAUCUUUUUCCACUUAGUGUUAGUUACAUUCUGAAUAUUUUCCCAUGCUAUUAAAAAACUUGUGGAAUGUGUUUUUAAUGGCUGUGCAGUAUCUUAUUGUUCAGUUGUACCAUUAUUUAUUUAACUAGUCCCCUAUUGCCAGGCAUUUAGACCUGCUUUAUGGGGAAAGAAUCAGGACUGUGGCUUCCGUGGCCAGUGUGCGGCAGUUGCCAAACAGGUCAUGUGGUCCUGGUUCCCCAGGAUUCCCAAAGGCUCAAUUCUCUAACCAGCUGGUGCUUUCCAGGCAGCCAGUGCCCCUUGGGCCAUCAGGACCCUACAGCCUGCGAGGAAUAGUUUUAGAAAGCAGAUGAAUUUCCUAUUGUGUGUGAGUGAUUUUAAAUGAGUUUUUCUUUUCCCCUUUCUUCCCUUCUGUGCUCUGGUUGCUCCCACAGGGCAGUAAACGGCUUUGACCCCGCUCCUCCUCCUCCUGGUCUGGGCUCCUCGCGUCCAUCGUCAGCGCCGGGUAUGCUGCCUCUCAGUGUGUGAGUGCCCAGCCUCCAGGUGGGGGCUCCUGCCCUCCUCCAACAACCCAGGACACCCACGCCUCACCCCUCGGUGCCUGGGCCCAGCCCCGUGCCCCUCCGUCUGCCUCCGCACAGCUGGCAGAGGGCAGGCUGCAUGCAGUGGCGGCUACUGGGCCCUGCCCAGCCCCGGAACUCUGCGCGAUAUCAAUACUGGCUAUUUUCUCUUCUCGCCGUAGUGCCGUUGGUUUCACAUGAUUGCACUUUUGUGGGUCGCAAGGUGAUACAUACAUGUAUUACUUGGUCACUGGAUGCAGAAGUACCCAUUCAUCACACCUGCCUCAUAGACCCCACUCUGCUGUACUGAUAGGAUUUAGUUGUGUUUAGGACAUUGCAAAUCUUCUAGAAGUUCUCCCCCAAAUCAGGUCAAUGUGUGCCCUCCUGAGCUCCCUCCCACCCAGGCAUCUCCAGUGCUCAUGAUCAUGUGUCCCCCAACUCCACCCCUCACAGUUUGGGCCUGUUUCUGGCAAAGAGUCAGGAAGGUUACUGAAUUAGGGAACAUUUUCUGCACCUUCUGAUUUUACUUAAGCAGCUACCAUUCCAUGGACUUGCCUCCCAGAGCAGCACAAUGCCCGUCUGAGCCCCACGUGGCAAGAGCCUCUGGGACGGGGCACACACAGGCCCAGCCUCUGUGCUGUCUCCUCCUCCGUGCGCCUCAGACUCGGGGUGAGGGAGGCGGGCAGCCUCUCGCCAGCCUUCCCGUCCUUCAGUUCAACGACAUCUUUGGAGUGUUUUUGUUUUCUCUUCCAAGGGCCGUCCCGUUGUGUUAGGAAGGGUGAGUGGCUGGUUCCAGGGUGGGCCGGUGCCAGCUCCGGGGUGGACUGAACAGCGGCGGCUGUCCCUGUGCAUCCUUUGAUUACUCUCAUGCUGCAUUUACUGUUUACAUUUGUUUUAUUGUACAUAGGUUUGUAAACAUUAUUGCCUGAGAUAUUUGUAUAUAACUUGGGCUUUGUAGCUUUUAUUUAUUCAGAACGCAUAUGGCAUGUUAAUGACUCUGAUGGUGUCCUCCUCUGGGCAGCUGUAUAGGAUCAUCAUGUGGUUACAAAAAAUACUUCCCUCAAAAAAAGUCUUUUAAUGUGGAAACAAUAAAUUUCACAGAAAAAAAGG
This 3935-nucleotide small RNA is filed under the name Pan troglodytes (chimpanzee). Its description in RNAcentral is "retained intron". The record is from RNAcentral. Lineage: Eukaryota; Metazoa; Chordata; Mammalia; Primates; Hominidae.